Molecule: ribosomal RNA, 687 nt
Filed under: uncultured bacterium
Lineage: Bacteria
Description: bacterial SSU rRNA
Rfam family: Bacterial small subunit ribosomal RNA
Source: RNAcentral
UCGAUUGAGUUUGAUCAUGGCUCAGGACGAACGCUGGCGGCGUGCUUAACACAUGCAAGUGGAGCGACGAACCGGGCUUCGGCCCGGGGCAAAGCCGCGAACGGGUGAGUAACACGUGGGUUACCUGCCCCGAUGACUAGGACAACCCGGGGAAACCCGGGCUAAUACCGGAUGUGCCCUACGGGGGAAAGGAAGCUUCGGCCUCCGCAUCGGGAUGGGCCCGCGGCCCAUUAGCUUGUUGGUGAGGGUAACGGCCCACCAAGGCUUCGAUGGGUAGCUGGUCUGAGAGGACGAUCAGCCACACUGGGACUGAGACACGGCCCAGACUCCUACGGGAGGCAGCAGUGGGGAAUCUUGCGCAAUGCGCGAAAGCGUGACGCAGCAACGCCGCGUGGGGGAAGACGGCCUUUGGGUUGUAAACCCCUUUCAGUUGGAACGAAGCUUCGCCGGUGAAUAGCCGGCUGGAGUGACGGUACCUUCAGAAGAAGCCCCGGCUAACUACGUGCCAGCAGCCGCGGUAAUACGUAGGGGGCAAGCGUUGUCCGGAAUUAUUGGGCGUAAAGAGCGUGUAGGCGGUUCGGUAAGUCCGCUGUGAAAGUCCAGGGCUCAACCCUGGAAAGCCGGUGGAUACUGCCGGGCUAGAGUCCGGAAGAGGCGAGUGGAAUUCCUGGUGUAGCGGUGAAAUGC